UACGAAGGGAGCUAGCGUUGUUCGGAAUCACUGGGCGUAAAGCGCACGUAGGCGGAUGUGUCAGUCAGGGGUGAAAUCCCGGAGCUCAACUUCGGAACUGCCUUUGAUACAGCACGUCUUGAGUCCGAUAGAGGUGGGUGGAAUUCCUAGUGUAGAGGUGAAAUUCGUAGAUAUUGGGAAGAACACCGGUGGCGAAGGCGGCUAUCUGGACCGACAUUGACGCUGAGGCGCGAAAGCGUGGGGAGCAAACAGG
Molecule: ribosomal RNA, 253 nt
Filed under: uncultured bacterium
Lineage: Bacteria
Description: partial 16S ribosomal RNA
Rfam family: Bacterial small subunit ribosomal RNA
Source: RNAcentral